This is an RNA transcript of Diospyros lotus (date-plum), 1656 nucleotides long. It is a transcript of the gene named plant cysteine oxidase 4-like, with no coding region annotated. NCBI's taxonomy places the organism in Eukaryota, Viridiplantae, Streptophyta, Magnoliopsida, Ericales, Ebenaceae. The transcript is spliced from 7 exons. The record is from RefSeq and is a predicted model, not a curated record.
UUUUAAAAAAAGAACAAGAAAGGGUAAAAUACAAAAACAGGUGAGGCGAGGCGAGACCGUGAGAGAGAAGAUAGACGAAAUAAGGGUUGAUGAGACGUUGGUUUCAGAAGAGUAAUGAUUGGAUUGCACCUGGCGACACAGAAGCUUACAAAUUUCACAAGAAAUCUUCCAUUUCUAUCUUCUCAUGCAAACCGGAGGUGUUUCGGGAUACGGUUUGGAGAAAGAGAUGGAUUCCCUGUGAUGUGGUUGCGUAGUCGUCUAUGUGGUUGUUCACAGUAGAAGAUCCAGUAACCAUCUAUCCGUAAUUUUUCUUUUCGGCAAAGGACUGUUGAUGCUAUUUUAAGGGUCUUCUGUAUUUUAGAAGGCCCUUUGGAUUGGAUUUGAGGCUUAAAACUUCAUCUUGUGCCUAUCGACUCCUUUGCUUCGACGGCGUUCGCUGAACUGUCAUCUAGGUUGCAGUUGUUCCUGUGAUUGUUACGAUUUCGACAUCAUGCCAGCCAUACAGAAGCUUUAUAAUGCCUGUAAAGUAUCUCUUUCACCCGAUGGACCCGUAUCAAAUGAAGCUCUUCAAAAAGUUCGUGCCCUCCUAGACAAAAUUAAGCCCUCUGAUGUUGGUCUUGAGCAGGAGGCACAGUUGGUCCGUGCAUGGACAGGUUCUGUGCGUCAGCGUAAUGGCACUGUUCUUCAGUCAGUGCCACCAAUCAGAUACCUGCAUUUACAUGAGUGUGAAAGCUUCUCUAUGGGAAUAUUCUGCAUGCAACCUUCUUCUACCAUACCUCUUCAUAAUCAUCCCGAAAUGACUGUGUUGAGCAAACUUCUAUAUGGCACAUUGCAUGUAGAAUCAUUUGAUUGGGUUGACAAGCUUAAUGAUGAAGUGCAAGCAAGACCCGCAAAGCUUGUUAAGGACGCCGAGAUGAGGGCCCCCUGUGAGCCAACCAUUCUCUACCCAGCCAGUGGAGGCAACAUCCAUCAUUUCAAAGCUGUUACUCCUUGUGCUUUCUUUGACAUCCUGUCUCCGCCUUACUCGGCCAAGGAUGGACGACAUUGUACUUAUUUCCAGAAGUCUCGAGCAGCAGAUUUGCCAGGUACUCUUGAAUUGGAUGGCUCGACUGUGGAGGUGACCUGGCUGGAAGAAUACCAACUCCCAGAUGAAUUUAUGAUCCAGAGAGUGCCAUAUAGGGGUCGACCAAUCAGGACCUGACGAAUAGUUUCAUUUUUGGCAUUGAUCUUAAUUUUCAAAUGAAUUGAGUGCUAAAUUUGGGUAAUUUUAAGGUUUAUGCUAAAUGUCAUGGUCGAUUCUUCAAGCCCUGAAACCGUGCGACCGUAGUGUCCCAAAUGGCUCUUGGCGAUUUUAAGUCAGGCUACUCAAUGUACACUCAAGCCGAAGGAGCCCUCAUGCGCAAGAACAAAUGAAAAGUGCACACAAGGAAGCAUGAGGAUGCAAAAUAAUGUGGGAAAGGUAAGUAUGCUAUUCACUAGGGAGAGAAGGAUGUACACUCUCAAACACGUUCAAGCUCAAGUCCUUACCUAUAAAACUCUCAAGCUUUGCAAUUUGGGGUGGUUUUUGUAUAUUUAUAGACCAGACGAUCGCUUAAAUUUGGCAACAAAAUGCCCGCUUUAACUCAAAUUUCAAAUUAGCUCGUGUAGCUUUUCACA